Kogia breviceps (pygmy sperm whale) is the source of this 3202-nucleotide non-coding RNA. The record is from RefSeq and is a predicted model, not a curated record. Lineage: Eukaryota; Metazoa; Chordata; Mammalia; Artiodactyla; Physeteridae.
UGUGGGAACAAGUGGCUUCUGCAGCAAAUCAAGUGCCCAGCACCUCAGGGUGAUUCUGUGGUUCUUCACGUGUCCCGACUGAUGCAGCUGGCAACUCUUGUCAAGUGAUCAACAUUUGGUUCCUUGUGAAAAAUGGACCUUCACCCAAAGUCACCCGAGACACUGAUGGAAAUGGCAACAGAGACUGAUACGACAUUGUGAAGCAAUUAUACUCCAACAAAGAUGUGAAAAGGAAGUACACAGGCUUUAAAAACCAUAAAAUGAGGACAACAGCGAUACCAAUCUCAGAAGGUUUUUGUGAGAAUUAAGUAAAAUUGGCAACAAAAUAUGGAAACAGUCCCUGGCACAUAGUCAGAGAUUCAUGGACUGUUUUCCUUUUCUCAUGUUAUUGCUUCAGACAGGAUGGUCUCUGGUGAAGUAUUCCCAGCACUAUUCUCUAGGGCUUCCGGAAAAUCGAAAAGGAUAUGGAGCUGAUAGAAUCGUAAUGAAUAUUUCGCUCAAAACUUCAGUCCCUCAUUCAGAACACGUCACUGAGUGUCUCCAUUAUGCUCAAGCAGUCACCAAGCAAGAUGCAGCCCCUGCUGCGUGGGAGCUUAUUAAGAGCAGAAGGACUGAUUUUAUAGAUGGGACCAUUGCUUCACUGCUAACGGAUACUUAGAUACUUAACUAAGAUAGAAAUACAGAUUCCUAGAGAAGACUGUCAGAGCAGCCUCAUGUCUCUACACUUUACAAGACCUCUUUCCUAGACAUUUAUGUGCUGAAACUUAGCAUCCUGACGUCCAAGUGGAAAACACUGGUCCCACAUGCAGAUCACUCUGAAGCAAAGUCCGAGCAUUGUAUCACUUCAUCUGUGUUUCAGUAUGAACCGAAAAGGUAAGGAUGCUUCAAAUAUCCCUAUUUUUAAGCAUGCUCAAAGUUAGCAAUAGUCCCUUAACAUCAGCAAAUAUCCAGUCAGUGUUCAAAUUUCCAUGCUUGUGUUAAAAUUUGUAAUUAUUUAUUUUACAGUCUGUUUGAAACAGGCUUUUAAUAAGGGCUAUGGAUUGUAAUUUUGUUUGAUAUGCUUCUUAUAUUUCAUGGAACUUAUGAGAUUUGUUUCCUCCUCCAUCAAUUGUUUUGGGUAUUAUUUUUGUUAAGAAAAGUGCAUCGUUUGUUCUGAGCAGGGUUCCACGGUCUGCAACUUGCCGACUGGACCCCCACAGUGCUGUGUAACACACACCUCUGUCCCCUAUAUUUCCUGUAAAUACAGGAAAUUGGUAGUUAGAUCCAGAGGCUUCAUUUUAUUCAGGUUUUAUUUGUUGUUGUUGUUCUGUUUUUGUUCUUUUGUUUUUUUGCAAGGUGCUAUUGUGUACUUCUUUCACUCAAUGUCUGGCAGCAAUUGAAGUUCCUUCUUUAGAGGGGUAGAGUAGACUUUCCAACAGAAGUUUCUGUGGUGAUGGAAGUGUUCCAUAUCAGUACAUAUAUGUUCUGUAUCUGUACUAAAUGAGCCAUAUCUGUUCUAUAUCUUAAUACAGUAGUCACUAGCCACGUGUAGCUCUUAAAUGUGGCUAGUGUGAUUGAGAAACUGACUCUUUAAUUUAAAAAAUUUUAAUUACUGUAAAUUGAAAUGUAAAUAGCCACAUGUGUCUAGUAGCUACCAUAUUGGAUAGUAUAGCUGCAGACCCAUUAAUUCAUUAAGGGCUGCAAAAUGAUAAUGCUAUUAUUCUAUUAUCUUUUUCUUUACUUAUUAGUUGGAAUAUUUUUGUAAAGAGAUACUUCCUCUUAACAACUAUGUUGCUACUAUGAGGUUCAGUUUAUACAGAAAAGACAGAAAAAUUCCUUAAUUCUUACUCUCUAUUAUCAGCUGUCAAAAUAAUAAACUGUUUCCUUCGCAUUCUCCAAAAGUGAUGCAUCCUCAUCCUCAAGUGUUUUUUGUUGUUUUUAUGUAGUCAUAAUUUGCAUUUUAAUUUAUUGUAGUUGUUUAUGCUCAAAUUGGUUCAUCCUUGGCCAGAGGGGGUUUAUUCAAACUAUCUCCUGAGUGCUCUUGCUAUGAUCCUACGAGUCUCUGAUAGUGUUAUGGCUUUCUGGUGUGCGAUCAGGUAUUCCAGGAUCAUCUUGGACAUGUUACGCCUCAUAUCUGAAAUUAGCAAUUUUCUAAGAUGCUCUGGUUCCAUUUAGUGGUCAAUGGUAUUUCAAGAACAUAUAAUCUGGGUACUAUGGUGAUCAUUGCUAUUUGGUUGGUCAUUGUUUCUAGCCUUUACAAAAACAGAGUUAGAAAUCUAGAUUAAAAAAACCCCUGCAUUGUGAGUUCAUCCUGAUACAUGCAAUUUAAAAUCAGUGCUACAGCAUUGCCUCUGGGCUUUUUUUUUUUUUUUUUUUAAUACUGAAAAUCUAGUUUCUUCUCAAUGACACCAGUAUAACUACUGGUUUCUUUUAUUCCACAAUACACACAUAAUAAUUUCAGGAUAACAAUAGCAACCUACCAGCAAUGAAAUUAUUAUUGAAAAGGUGCACUCACCUUUGGUUUCAUUUUUUCAUGUUUAUAUAUUUAUUCCUAGAGUCUCCCUCCCUGAUGGUAUAUUAUUGUGUUUCAGGGUUAUUUGAAAUAGUUUCUCUGUGUAGUUUUGCCAAAAAAAGGAUGCAAAUUUCUAUUUGUUUGUUUCCUUUUCUUUUUAGUAAUUUUUAAAAAAACUGUAGUUUCAUUUUGUAAUUAGGUAGAGUAUUUAUGUGGCCCCAGAGUCAUAGCCACAAAACACAGUACAUUUUUAAAAAUCUAGCUUCUUACCCUAUCUCCUUAACUCUAUUCCCUUGUCAGUUUUUAUUUAAAAAAUUGUAAUUUAAGCCUUCAUUUUUUAUUUCAGGAAAGUGAAUAUAUUUAUAUCUACCCUUUCUUAGAUGAGCAGUAAUACACUACACACUUUCCUCCUUUUUUUGGUCUUACUUAAUAAUGUAUUCUGGAAAUCACUGACUAAUAAAAUGCAGAGAUCAACCUCAUUCCUUUUUGUAGCUGCAUAGUAUUCCAUGGAAUAGAUGUUCCAUAGUUAUUCAAUAAAUCCUCUAUUGAUGGACAUUUAGGUUGUGGAAAGCUUUUUAAGGACAUUUAAAAUUAUUACAGCAGGAGCAUAAACAAAUGCAUUACCUUUCCCAUAAUUUUUCAUUUUUCACUAGGUUCAUAUAGAUAUUCAUAAAGAUAAAAAGCAUGAAAUUAUAUUAAUAUCUAAGACAA